AACACUGUUAACCUGCGGUACCUGCGGAGGGAUCAUUAUUGAAUGAACUUGGUCAAGCUGUUGCUGGUCCUUCGGGACAUGUGCACGCUUGCCACCAAUUUUAACCACCUGUGCACUUUUUGUAGACUUGGAAACGUUUCUCGAGGCAACUCGGAUUGAGAACUGCUGGCGCAAGUCGGCUUUUCUUAUGUUUUCUCAGUCUAUGUUUUCAUAUACACCUAAUGUAUGUAUCAGAAUGUA
RNAcentral lists this unclassified non-coding RNA (240 nucleotides) under soil metagenome. RNAcentral describes it as "partial contains 5.8S ribosomal RNA, internal transcribed spacer 2, and large subunit ribosomal RNA". The record is from RNAcentral.